UAGGGAAUCUUCCGCAAUGGGCGAAAGCUUGACGGAGCAACGCCGCGUGAGUGAUGAAGGUCUUCGGAUCGUAAAACUCUGUUAUUAGGGAAGAACAAAUGUGUAAGUAACUAUGCACGUCUUGACGGUACCUAAUCAGAAAGCCACGGCUAACUACGUGCCAGCAGCCGCGGUAAUACGUAGGUGGCAAGCGUUAUCCGGAAUUAUUGGGCGUAAAGCGCGCGUAGGCGGUUUUUUAAGUAUGAUGUGAAAGCCCACGGCUCAACCGUGGAGGGUCAUUGGAAACUGGAAAACUUGAGUGCAGAAGAGGAAAGUGGAAUUCCAUGUGUAGCAGUGAAAUGCGCAGAGAUAUGGAGGAACACCAGUGGCGAAGGCGACUUUCUGGUCUGUAACUGACGCUGAUGUGCGAAAGCGUGGGGAUCAAACAGG
Molecule: ribosomal RNA, 429 nt
Filed under: Actinomycetes bacterium
Lineage: Bacteria; Bacillati; Actinomycetota; Actinomycetes
Description: Actinobacteria bacterium partial 16S ribosomal RNA
Rfam family: Bacterial small subunit ribosomal RNA
Source: RNAcentral